GCCGGGCAUGAUGGCUCAUGCCUGUAAUCCCAGCACUUUGGGAGGCCGAGACGGGCGGAUCACCUGAGGUCAGGAGUUCGACACCAGCCUGGCCAACAUAGUGAAACCCUGUCUUUACUAAAAAUAAAACAAAUUAGCCCAGGCACGGUGGCUCACGCCUGUAAUCCCAGAACUUUGGGAGGCCGAGGCGGGCAGAUCACCUGAGGUCAGCAGUUCGAGACCAGCCUGACUAACAUGGUGAAACCCUGUCUCU
Unclassified non-coding RNA from Homo sapiens (human), 253 nucleotides. It matches the Rfam family "Metazoan signal recognition particle RNA". Rfam says of the family: The signal recognition particle (SRP) is a universally conserved ribonucleoprotein. The record is from Ensembl. NCBI's taxonomy places the organism in Eukaryota, Metazoa, Chordata, Mammalia, Primates, Hominidae.